RNAcentral lists this unclassified non-coding RNA (250 nucleotides) under plant metagenome. Its description in RNAcentral is "partial contains small subunit ribosomal RNA, internal transcribed spacer 1, and 5.8S ribosomal RNA". The record is from RNAcentral.
GUAGGUGAACCUGCGGAAGGAUCAUUAUGAAUCACCGAGCGAGCGGCUGUUGUAUCGAGCAAUGCAUGCAUGCAAGCAUGCAUUGGGAGAUGCAAUGGACGAUCGACUCGAAACACCCACCCUGUUGAAACGAGUGCAGUCGCGUUGGUUCCUCCUCCAGAAAUAGAGGGGGAUGAACGCACUGUUUUGAAAUAACACCAUUUGAUAUCCAAUGUAUGACAAGAGAAUAACAACCAACUUUUAACAAUGG